Lonchura striata (white-rumped munia) is the source of this 338-nucleotide non-coding RNA. The record is from RefSeq and is a predicted model, not a curated record. NCBI's taxonomy places the organism in Eukaryota, Metazoa, Chordata, Aves, Passeriformes, Estrildidae.
GUGGUAUGUGAAUAAAGAGACAAUUUGUGAAGUUUAAAUAUGGUUCAAGGGAACUGGACACAUUCUUCCACCAGCAAACUCAGCUGUGCCUGUGGAAUGCCACAGCCCAUACUGCAGACAGGCAGAGGGACACAGCAGCAAGACAAGCAUUUUGAAAGAACAGGAAAAUAAAUAAGGGGAUAAGCUGUUGCUGAACUGAGUUGCAUGGAGAGAAGAGAACAUUUAGUGUUGUCACAAUUUGAGAAGACUCUUGUCCAUUGUUUGGUUUAUGGAUUUAUGGAUUUCCACCUCCAGCAAAAUUAACAAGAAAACAUAUUAUUUUUUGUGCCAUUGCAAUA